This 182-nucleotide ribosomal RNA is filed under the name uncultured bacterium. RNAcentral's name for it is "partial 16S ribosomal RNA". It matches the Rfam family "Bacterial small subunit ribosomal RNA", at positions 1319 to 1500 of the family's 1533-position model. The record is from RNAcentral.
CAUGAAGCUGGAAUUGCUAGUAAUCACAGGUCAGCAUACUGUGGUGAAUACGUUCCCGGGCCUUGUACACACCGCCCGUCACACCAUGAGAGUUGGGAACACCCGAAGUCCGUAGCCUAACAGCAAUGAGGGCGCGGCCGAAGGUGGGUUCGAUAAUUGGGGUGAAGUCGUAACAAGGUAGC